This 459-nucleotide ribosomal RNA is filed under the name uncultured bacterium. Its description in RNAcentral is "partial 16S ribosomal RNA". It matches the Rfam family "Bacterial small subunit ribosomal RNA", at positions 338 to 795 of the family's 1533-position model. The record is from RNAcentral.
CCUACGGGUGGCUGCAGUGAGGAAUAUUGGUCAAUGGGCGGGAGCCUGAACCAGCCAAGCAGCGUGAGGGAAGAAGGUACAGCGGAUUGUAAACCUCUUUUGUCAGGGAACAAAGGCGGGGACUAGUCCCCGGAUGAGGGUACCUGAAGAAAAAGCAUCGGCUAACUCCGUGCCAGCAGCCGCGGUAAUACGGAGGAUGCGAGCGUUAUCCGGUUUUCUUGGGUUUAAGGGGUCCGCAGGCGGCCUGUUAAGUCAGCGGGAAAAGCCCGGGGCUCAACCCCGGCGAGCCGUUGAAACUGGCGGGCGGGAGUUGGAGAGAGGUACGCGGAAUGCGCGGUGUAGCGGUGAAAUGCUUAGAUAUCGCGCAGAACCCCGAUUGCGAAGGCAGCGUACCGGCUCCACACUGACGCUGAGGCACGAAAGCGUGGGUAUCGAACAGGAUUAGAUACCCCAGUAGUC